CGGUGAUGAAGUCUUGAUGACGAGUCAGAUUCGUGGUUCACGAUGACGAGACUUCUUUUUUUUCCAUUCAUGCUUUUCUGAGG
This 83-nucleotide small nucleolar RNA is filed under the name Ogataea polymorpha. The record is from RNAcentral. Lineage: Eukaryota; Fungi; Ascomycota; Pichiomycetes; Pichiales; Pichiaceae. RNAcentral also lists the same sequence under 1 other name.